CCUACGGGAGGCAGCAGUGAGGAAUAUUGGUCAAUGGGCGGAAGCCUGAACCAGCCAAGUAGCGUGCGGGAUGAAGGCCCUACGGGUCGUAAACCGCUUUUGCACGGGGAUAACACCCUCCACUUGUGGAGGUCUGCAGGUACCGUGCGAAUAAGGGCCGGCUAAUUCUGUGCCAGCAGCCGCGGUAAUCCGGAAGGCCCGAGCGUUAUCCGGUUUCAUUGGGGUUAAAGGGAGCGUAGGCGGCCGUUCAAGCCAGCGGUAAAAUCGCGGGGCUAAACCGCGCACCGAAGUUGAAACUGGGCGCCUUGAGUUCACAACAGGCAGGCGGAAUUCGUGGUGUAGCGGUGAAAUGCAUAGAUAUCACGAGGAACCCCGAUUGCGAAGGCAGCCUGCCGGGGUGCGACUGACGCUGAGGCUCGAAGGUGCGGGUAUCGAACAGGAUUAGAUACCCUAGUAGUC
RNAcentral lists this ribosomal RNA (459 nucleotides) under uncultured bacterium. Its description in RNAcentral is "partial 16S ribosomal RNA". It matches the Rfam family "Bacterial small subunit ribosomal RNA", at positions 338 to 795 of the family's 1533-position model. The record is from RNAcentral.